This 481-nucleotide ribosomal RNA is filed under the name uncultured bacterium. RNAcentral's name for it is "partial 16S ribosomal RNA". It matches the Rfam family "Bacterial small subunit ribosomal RNA", at positions 28 to 523 of the family's 1533-position model. The record is from RNAcentral.
GACGAACGCUGGCGGCGUGCUUAACACAUGCAAGUCGAGCGGAAAGGCUCCUUCGGGGGUACUCGAGCGGCGAACGGGUGAGUAACACGUGAGUAAUCUGCCCUUGGCUUCGGGAUAGCCACCGGAAACGGUGAUUAAUACCGGAUACGACAACUUCUCGCAUGGGAUGGUUGUGGAAAGUUUUUUCGGCCAGGGAUGUGCUCGCGGCCUAUCAGCUUGAUGGUGAGGUAAUGGCUCACCAUGGCUUCGACGGGUAGCCGGCCUGAGAGGGUGACCGGUCACACGGGGACUGAGACACGGCCCAGACUCCUACGGGAGGCAGCAGUGGGGAAUAUUGGACAAUGGGCGGUAGCCUGAUCCAGCAACGCCGCGUGAGGGAUGACGGCCUUCGGGUUGUAAACCUCUUUCGGUAGGGACAAAGCGCAAGUGACGGUACCUACUAAAGAAGCACCGGCCAACUACGUGCCAGCAGCCGCCGUAA